This 269-nucleotide ribosomal RNA is filed under the name uncultured bacterium. Its description in RNAcentral is "partial 16S ribosomal RNA". It matches the Rfam family "Bacterial small subunit ribosomal RNA", at positions 87 to 354 of the family's 1533-position model. The record is from RNAcentral.
UUAUUUUAGCGGCGGACGGGUGAGUAACGUGUGGGUAACCUGCCUUUUACUGGGGAAUAAUCACUGGAAACGGUGACUAAUACCGCAUACGGUUCUUGGAAGGCAUCUUCUAGGAAAGAAAGGAUUUAUUCGGUAAAAGAUGGGCCCGCAUCUGAUUAGCUAGUUGGUGAGAUAACAGCCCACCAAGGCGACGAUCAGUAGCCGACCUGAGAGGGUGGCCGGCCACAUUGGGACUGAGACACGGCCCAAACUCCUACGGAAGGCAGCAG